GACGAACGCUGGCGGCGUGCUUAACACAUGCAAGUCGAACGGAAAGGCCCUGCUUUUGUUGGGUGCUCGAGUGGCGAACGGGUGAGUAACACGUGAGUAACCUGCCCUUGACUUUGGGAUAACUUCAGGAAACUCGGGCUAAUACCGGAUAGGAUCUCCUGCUGCAUGGUGGGGGUUGGAAAGUUUCGGCGGUUGGGGAUGGACUCGCGGCUUAUCAGCUUGUUGGUGGGUAGUGGCUUACCAAGGCUUUGACGGGUAGCCGGCCUGAGAGGGUGACCGGCCACAUUGGGACUGAGAUACGGCCCAGAAUCCUACGGGAGGCAGCAGUGGGGAAUAUUGCAGAAUGGGCGGAAGCCUGAUGCAGCAACGCCGCGUGCGGGAUGACGGCCUUCGGGUUGUAAACCGCUUUCGCCUGUGACGAAGCGUGAGUGACGGUAAUGGGUAAAGAAGCACCGGCUAACUACGUG
RNAcentral lists this ribosomal RNA (467 nucleotides) under uncultured bacterium. Its description in RNAcentral is "partial 16S ribosomal RNA". It matches the Rfam family "Bacterial small subunit ribosomal RNA", at positions 28 to 507 of the family's 1533-position model. The record is from RNAcentral.